GCUGGAUUCAAGAUGGCCGCUUACUUGGGAGCGUAUUUGGAAAUAAUUUCAUCGAUUUUGUGCAUAUUUUCUUCAUUUUUUUCGAUGAAACUUAAUAGUUUUCCCAUCAGCCAGACUUUAUAAACCGAAAUUCAUCUUAUACGAGUAAACUUGGAAGGCUGGAAGCCUGAAAUAGACGACAAAAGUUCACAAUUUUCACAAAGUUGGAACUUCGCAAACUGCAACAAUAAUAUUCGCAAGUUGUUGUUUAUUUGGAUGUAAAUAGAAUCUGCUUAAUGCGACAAAGGUUUAAUAGAGCUUCUUGCCUUGCUGGCAAAUGAUAUUUUAAAAGCUCUCAGGACAGCUGUUAUCUCACAAUAGGUAUUGUACAAUUCAAACACACGGUGUGUUGAACACCGAACAUAUUAAUUUGUAUAAUAGAUAAAUUUGGCAAAGUUAGUUACAUUGUUGCUAUGCAAUUCACAACUUUAAAUAUUCAUGCCUAGUUAGUGUUCUACAGUAGUUCACACAUAGAAUAGAAUAGAACAGAAGUAACUAAGCAUUUGAUAAGCCCUAUAUACUAUAAAAGUAAUUCAUUCAUUCAUGCACCUAGAUAAUUCUAAAGCUUAGUUAUCUUUGUUCUACUCUAUGCUUCAGUACACUAGAACAAUGAUACUUAAGGCUGCAUUCCAGUAACGCGUUUUUCAUACGUGCGUACACUCACGUAAAAGUUGAAUUCGCUUAAAAUUUCAUAUAAGUGCAAAUAACCAGGCACGGAUUUUCUGGGGGGGGGGGGUGCGCACCNNNNNNNNNNNNNNNNNNNNCCCCCCCCCCCCCCCCAAGGCAUUUGGCACCCCCGCAAAAUUACAUAUAUUUUGAUUUGAUAGUUUCGUAUUUGAUUAUUCUUACUACUAAAUUUGUAAAAUUAUCAAUAUUAUGGUCUCAGAUCUCGCCAUGCAGGCCUAGAAAACAAAUUUUGUUAAACUUUUUCCUUGGCCUUACCGGGCGUUGCCACCACGCCCCGGCCAAAGCAAGCAGCAGCACCCCCCAGAUAUUUAUCCACCCUUCCGAACGAAAAUAUGAAAAUCCGUCUCUACAAAUAACCUUAACAAAUACACAUUAAAUCAUACACAAAACUGAAUGCUGUCCUUUUAUAACUUUAGUUAUUUCAUAAGUAGGAUGUAAAGCGAAUUCAACUUUUACGUGCAUGUACGCACGUAUGAAAAACGCGUAACUGGAAUGCAGCCUUAAGGCAUGUGACUUGUGUAAAGUUGUGAAUUGGAUAUAACCAAACUUAGACAAAUUUGUUUAUCGUCUAUAGUCUGGGGACUUGUUUGAUGAACUUUGUUUUAAUUUUUCCUUGAAUCCCAUUUUUGACAAAAACAAUUUUAUUAUAUGAACGUAAUAUGCAAUAGCCCCAGCGACUAACGCUCAAUAGAGCGUCUUGUUAUAGUUAAUUUAAUAACUACUGGACAGUAUAAAUUGCUUUAGUUGUUGGUUUCUGAUCAAUUUCGG
Molecule: long non-coding RNA, 1494 nt
Filed under: Paramuricea clavata
Lineage: Eukaryota; Metazoa; Cnidaria; Anthozoa; Malacalcyonacea; Plexauridae
Source: RNAcentral